GGUAGGGUGGCCGAGGGUCAGGCGGCGGGUUGUAGCCCCGACUACAGAGGUUUAAGUCCUCUCUCUACCA
RNAcentral lists this transfer RNA (70 nucleotides) under Limnodynastes salmini (salmon-striped frog). RNAcentral describes it as "tRNA-Tyr". It matches the Rfam family "tRNA". Rfam says of the family: Transfer RNA (tRNA) molecules are approximately 80 nucleotides in length. Their secondary structure includes four short double-helical elements and three loops (D, anti-codon, and T loops). The record is from RNAcentral. Lineage: Eukaryota; Metazoa; Chordata; Amphibia; Anura; Limnodynastidae.